AGGACGAACGCUGGCGGCGUGCCUAACACAUGCAAGUCGAACGGACGAGGGGAGCUUGCUCCCCAAGUUAGUGGCGGACGGGUGAGUAACACGUGAGCAACCUGCCCUUCGGAGGGGGACAACAGUUGGAAACGACUGCUAAUACCGCAUAAUGUAUUCUGGAGGCAUCUCCGGGAUACCAAAGAUUUCAUCGCCGAAGGAUGGGCUCGCGUCUGAUUAGAUAGUUGGCGGGGUAACGGCCCACCAAGUCUGCGAUCAGUAGCCGGACUGAGAGGUUGAACGGCCACAUUGGGACUGAGAUACGGCCCAGACUCCUACGGGAGGCAGCAGUGGGGAAUAUUGGGCAAUGGGGGGCAACCCUGACCCAGCAACGCCGCGUGGAGGAAGAAGGCUUUCGGGUUGUAAACUCCUUUGACGAGGGACGAUCAUGACGGUACCUCGAAAACAAGCCACGGCUAACUACGUGCCAGCCGCGGC
This 477-nucleotide ribosomal RNA is filed under the name uncultured bacterium. Its description in RNAcentral is "bacterial SSU rRNA". It matches the Rfam family "Bacterial small subunit ribosomal RNA", at positions 26 to 518 of the family's 1533-position model. The record is from RNAcentral.